RNAcentral lists this ribosomal RNA (460 nucleotides) under uncultured bacterium. Its description in RNAcentral is "partial 16S ribosomal RNA". It matches the Rfam family "Bacterial small subunit ribosomal RNA", at positions 338 to 795 of the family's 1533-position model. The record is from RNAcentral.
CCUACGGGCGGCUGCAGUGAGGAAUAUUGGUCAAUGGACGCGAGUCUGAACCAGCCAAGUAGCGUGAAGGAUGACUGCCCUAUGGGUUGUAAACUUCUUUUAUAUGGGAAUAAAAUGUUCCACGUGUGGGAUUUUGUAUGUACCAUAUGAAUAAGGAUCGGCUAACUCCGUGCCAGCAGCCGCGGUAAUACGGAGGAUCCGAGCGUUAUCCGGAUUUAUUGGGUUUAAAGGGAGCGUAGGUGGAUUGUUAAGUCAGUUGUGAAAGUUUGCGGCUCAACCGUAAAAUUGCAGUUGAAACUGGCAGUCUUGAGUACAGUAGAGGUGGGCGGAAUUCGUGGUGUAGCGGUGAAAUGCUUAGAUAUCACGAAGAACUCCGAUUGCGAAGGCAGUUCACUGGACUGCAACUGACACUGAGGCUCGAAAGUGUGGGUAUCAAACAGGAUUAGAUACCCGUGUAGUC